UAAGGAAUAUUGGACAAUGGACGGAAGUCUGAUCCAGCCAUGCCGCGUGAAGGAAGAAGGCGCUCAGCGUUGUAAACUUCUUUUGGACGGGGACAAACCUGUGGAUUUAUCCGCAGCUGAGGGUACCGUCAGAAUAAGCACCGGCUAACUCCGUGCCAGCAGCCGCGGUAAUACGGAGGGUGCAAGCGUUAUCCGGAAUCACUGGGUUUAAAGGGUGCGUAGGCGGUCUGGUAAGUCAGUCGUGAAAUCGCCGGGCUUAACCCGUGCAACUGCGAUUGAUACUGCCGGACUUGAAUGAGGUUGAGGUAGGCGGAAUGUGGCAUGUAGCGGUGAAAUGCUUAGAUAUGCCAUAGAACACCGAUUGCGAAGGCAGCUUGCUGGACCUUCAUUGACGCUGAGGCACGAAAGCGUGGGGAGCAAACAGG
This 425-nucleotide ribosomal RNA is filed under the name uncultured bacterium. RNAcentral describes it as "bacterial SSU rRNA". It matches the Rfam family "Bacterial small subunit ribosomal RNA", at positions 355 to 776 of the family's 1533-position model. The record is from RNAcentral.